GGCCGCCAGGGAGAAUCUUCACCCUCGUUGCACAACCAGCUGUCUAAGGUGCGUGGGUAAGGCCUUCGGGUCGUAAAGCUCUGUCAGAGGGAAAGAAACUCCCGUCGGUUAAUACCCGGCGGGCCUGACGGUACCCUCAAAGGAAGCACCGGCUAACUCCGUGCCAGCAGCCGCGGUAAUACGGAGGGUGCAAGCGUUGUUCGGAAUUAUUGGGCGUAAAGCGCGUGUAGGCGGUUCGUUAAGUCUGAUGUGAAAGCCCUGGGCUUAACCUGGGAAGUGCAUUGGAAACUGGCGAACUUGAGUAUGGGAGAGGAAAGUGGAAUUCCGAGUGUAGGGGUGAAAUCCGUAGAUAUUCGGAGGAACACCAGUGGCGAAGGCGGCUUUCUGGACCAAUACUGACGCUGAGACGCGAAAGCGUGGGGAGCAAACAGGAUUAGAUACCCUGGUAGUCCACGCCGUAAACGAU
Molecule: ribosomal RNA, 466 nt
Filed under: uncultured prokaryote
Description: bacterial SSU rRNA
Rfam family: Bacterial small subunit ribosomal RNA
Source: RNAcentral